RNAcentral lists this ribosomal RNA (379 nucleotides) under uncultured eukaryote. RNAcentral describes it as "SSU rRNA". It matches the Rfam family "Eukaryotic small subunit ribosomal RNA", at positions 587 to 972 of the family's 1831-position model. The record is from RNAcentral.
AGCUCCAAUAAGGAAAACUAAAGUUGCUGUGUUUAAAAAGCUCGUAGUUGAAUUUCGGGUAUUUGUUGCUAGCUGGUCUUAAUGGCCAUGUUGGUUAACAGAUCCUCAUUUGCUGGACGGCUAGCGAUGAUCUUUAUCGGUUGUCGUUAGUUGCCAGCACGUUUACUUUGAGAAAAUUAGAGUGCUAAAAGCAGGCUCACGCCUAUAUAUAUUGCAUGGAAUAAUGAAAUAAGAUCUCGAUUUUAUUUCGUUGGUUUUAGAAAUUGAGAUAAUGAUUAAUAGGAUCAGAGGGGGGCGUACGUACUGUGGUGUGAGAGGUGAAAUUCUUGGAUCGCCACAGGACGAACAGCAGCGAAGGCGUUCGCCAAGAAUGUUUUCA